RNAcentral lists this ribosomal RNA (252 nucleotides) under uncultured prokaryote. Its description in RNAcentral is "partial 16S rRNA". It matches the Rfam family "Archaeal small subunit ribosomal RNA", at positions 475 to 726 of the family's 1478-position model. The record is from RNAcentral.
ACCGGCGGCUCGAGUGGUGGCCACUAUUACUGGGCUUAAAGCGUUCGUAGCUGGCUUGUUAAGUCUCUGGGGAAAUCUUCCGGCUCAACCGGAAGGCGUCUCAGGGAUACUGGCAGGCUAGGGACCGGGAGAGGUGAGAGGUACUCCAGGGGGAGGGGUGAAAUCCGGUAAUCCUUGGAGGAAGAACUGUGGCGAAGGCGACUCACCAGGACGGCUCCGACAGUGAGGAACGAAAGCUGGGGGAGCAAACCG